RNAcentral lists this long non-coding RNA (510 nucleotides) under Mus musculus (house mouse). RNAcentral describes it as "predicted gene, 36037". Lineage: Eukaryota; Metazoa; Chordata; Mammalia; Rodentia; Muridae. The record is from RNAcentral.
GGCAGAACAGUCCAAAAACAGAUGCUAAAGCCCCCUACACAGAGCCUCAGUGCUUCGAUCUGAUAGACAACAGGUCUGUGUUCCACCUGUGUGCCUGAAGAAGUGUGACGAGACUGUUGGAUACCCUGGGACUUGUGAGCCACCAUGGCCUGAAUUUAGAGGGGGGAUGCCCAUCCCCCACUUUGCCAGGAUCUCAUCAGGAAGACAAGCUCAGCUGCUCAGCGGUUUUGGCUUCUUGCAGGAAGCUGCAGAUGGGGCACACAGUAGACUUCACCUAGGUCAGAAGACUCCACCCUAGUCUCCCCUCCCCCAGCCUGAAACCUGCUUACUCAGGGGUGGAGCUUGCCGCUCAAUCGUUCUGCCACGCCCACUGCUGGAGCUUGCCGCUUUGCUGUUUCGAAGCCAUCACGUGUUCACCUGCAACCUUACUCCUAGAUUAUUUGGCGGGAAUCGGCCCCUCCCCCUUCCUUCAUAACGGAGUGCUGGAAUAGUAAAAAUUGAACCUUGAGC